This 289-nucleotide ribosomal RNA is filed under the name uncultured Eubacteriales bacterium. RNAcentral describes it as "uncultured Clostridiales bacterium partial 16S ribosomal RNA". Lineage: Bacteria; Bacillati; Bacillota; Clostridia; Eubacteriales. The record is from RNAcentral.
CUACCGGGGUAUCUAAUCCUGUUUGCUCCCCACGCUUUCGAGCCUCAGCGUCAGUUACAGUCCAGAGAAGCGCCUUCGCCACUGGUGUUCUUCCUAAUCUCUACGCAUUUCACCGCUACACUAGGAAUUCCCUUCUCCUCUCCUGCACUCUAGACUUCCAGUUUGAAAUGCAGCACCCAAGUUAAGCCCGGGUAUUUCACAUCUCACUUAAAAAUCCGCCUACGCUCCCUUUACGCCCAGUAAAUCCGGACAACGCUUGCCACCUACGUAUUACCGCGGCUGCUGGCAC